RNAcentral lists this ribosomal RNA (1231 nucleotides) under human gut metagenome. RNAcentral describes it as "bacterial LSU rRNA". It matches the Rfam family "Bacterial large subunit ribosomal RNA", at positions 1390 to 2641 of the family's 2925-position model. The record is from RNAcentral.
CCUAAGGCGAGGUCGAAAGACGUAGUCGAUGGAUAACAGGUUGAAAUUCCUGUACUAUCCUGUAACAGAACUGUGGGGACACAGGCAGAGAGCGUGAGCCGGGAAUGGAAAGACCGGUACAAGCGAGGUAGGAGAAGAGUUGGCAAAUCCGCUCUUCAAUCUGAAGACGUGAUGUGGACUGAAAAUAAGUAGGGAAGCACGUGAGCUGACUGUCAAGAAAAGCCGCUAUUGUUUGCAGGAUACCCGUACCGUAAACCGACACAGGUGGAUGAGGAGAGAAUCCUAAGGCCGACGGGAGAAGCAUUGUUAAGGAACUCGGCAAAAUGACUCCGUAACUUCGGGAGAAGGAGUGCCAUGUAAAAGUGGCCGCAGAGAAUUGGCCCAAGCAACUGUUUAGCAAAAACACAGGUCUAUGCAAAACCGAAAGGUGAGGUAUAUGGGCUGACGCCUGCCCGGUGCUGGAAGGUUAAGGGGAGAGGUUAGCGCAAGCGAAGCUUUGAACUUAAGCCCCAGUAAACGGCGGCCGUAACUAUAACGGUCCUAAGGUAGCGAAAUUCCUUGUCGGGUAAGUUCCGACCCGCACGAAAGGCGUAAUGAUUUGGGCACUGUCUCAACAAUGCACCCGGUGAAAUUGAAAUACCAGUGAAGAUGCUGGUUACCUGCGCCAGGACGGAAAGACCCCAUGGAGCUUUACUCCAGCUUGAUACUGGGAUUCGGUAUUGCAUGUACAGGAUAGGUGGGAGGCUAGGAAAUGGUAACGCCAGUUGCCAUGGAGCCAAUGUUGGGAUACCACCCUUGCAGUACUGGGUUUCUAACCAGCAGCCGUGAUCCGGCUGGGGGACAAUGUCAGGUGGGGAGUUUGACUGGGGCGGUCGCCUCCGAAAGGGUAUCGGAGGCGCUCAAAGGUUCCCUCAGAAUGGUUGGAAACCAUUCGAAGAGUGCAAAGGCAGAAGGGAGCUUGACUGCGACACCGACGGGUGGAGCAGGUACGAAAGUAGGACUUAGUGAUCCGGUGGUAUAAAGUGGGAUUGCCAUCGCUCAACGGAUAAAAGCUACCCUGGGGAUAACAGGCUUAUCACUCCCAAGAGUUCACAUCGACGGAGUGGUUUGGCACCUCGAUGUCGGCUCAUCGCAUCCUGGGGCUGAAGUAGGUCCCAAGGGUUGGGCUGUUCGCCCAUUAAAGCGGUACGCGAGCUGGGUUCAGAACGUCGUGAGACAGUUCGGUCCCUAU